GGUUGAUCCUGCCAGUAGUCAUAUGCUUGUCUCAAAGAUUAAGCCAUGCAUGUCUAAGUAUAAACAUCUUUAUACAGUGAAACUGCGUACAGCUCAUUAUAUCAGUUAUGAUUUAUUUGAUGGUGAAAUACAUUACAUGGAUACCCGUAGUAAUUCUAGAGCUAAUACAUGCGUAAAGUCCCGACUUUUCGGAAGGGAUGUAUUUAUUAGAUACCAAAUCAAUCACUUUUUGUUGUUGUUGAUGAGUCAUAAUAACUGCACGGAUCGCUUGUGGGCCUUGUGCCCUGCGACAG
Molecule: ribosomal RNA, 293 nt
Filed under: uncultured eukaryote
Lineage: Eukaryota
Description: partial 18S ribosomal RNA
Rfam family: Eukaryotic small subunit ribosomal RNA
Source: RNAcentral